GCAGCAAUAGCUCAGUGGUAGAGCCCCGCUUCGCCUGCGGGGAGACCCGGGUUCGAUUCCAGGCUGCUUCC
Molecule: transfer RNA, 71 nt
Filed under: Toxocara canis (dog roundworm)
Lineage: Eukaryota; Metazoa; Nematoda; Chromadorea; Rhabditida; Toxocaridae
Rfam family: tRNA
About the family: Transfer RNA (tRNA) molecules are approximately 80 nucleotides in length. Their secondary structure includes four short double-helical elements and three loops (D, anti-codon, and T loops).
Source: Rfam by way of RNAcentral